RNAcentral lists this transfer RNA (83 nucleotides) under Ictidomys tridecemlineatus (thirteen-lined ground squirrel). Its description in RNAcentral is "Spermophilus tridecemlineatus (thirteen-lined ground squirrel) tRNA". It matches the Rfam family "tRNA". Rfam says of the family: Transfer RNA (tRNA) molecules are approximately 80 nucleotides in length. Their secondary structure includes four short double-helical elements and three loops (D, anti-codon, and T loops). Further hydrogen bonds mediate the characteristic L-shaped molecular structure. tRNAs have two regions of fundamental functional importance: the anti-codon, which is responsible for specific mRNA codon recognition, and the 3' end, to which the tRNAs corresponding amino acid is attached (by aminoacyl-tRNA synthetases). tRNAs cope with the degeneracy of the genetic code in two manners: having more than one tRNA (with a specific anti-codon) for a particular amino acid; and 'wobble' base-pairing, i.e. permitting non-standard base-pairing at the 3rd anti-codon position. Lineage: Eukaryota; Metazoa; Chordata; Mammalia; Rodentia; Sciuridae. The record is from Rfam by way of RNAcentral.
UGGGAUAUAGCUCAGUAGCAGAGCACUUGCUUAGCAUGUAAGAGGCAUGUGUGAGGCUCUGGGUUCAAGCCCCAAUAUUGCUA